CCUACGGGAGGCAGCAGUGGGGAAUCUUGCACAAUGGGGGACACCCUGAUGCCGCGACGCCGCGUGAGCGAAGCAGUAUUUCGGUAUGUAAAGCUCUAUCAGCAGGGAAGACAAUGACGGUACCUGAGUAAGAAGCUCCGGCUAAAUACGUGCCAGCAGCCGCGGUAAUACGUAUGGAGCCAGCGUUAUCCGGAUUUACUGGGUGUAAAGGGAGCGCAGGCGGCCUUGCAAGUCUGAUGUGAAAUACCGGGGCUCAACCCCGGAGCUGCAUUGGAAACUGUGAGGCUGGAGUGUCGGAGAGGCAGGCGGAAUUCCUAGUGUAGCGGUGAAAUGCGUAGAUAUUAGGAGGAACACCAGUGGCGAAGGCGGCCUGCUGGACGAUGACUGACGCUGAGGCUCGAAAGCGUGGGGAGCAAACAGGAUUAGAUACCCGGGUAGUC
Molecule: ribosomal RNA, 440 nt
Filed under: uncultured bacterium
Lineage: Bacteria
Description: partial 16S ribosomal RNA
Rfam family: Bacterial small subunit ribosomal RNA
Source: RNAcentral